Molecule: ribosomal RNA, 618 nt
Filed under: Millerozyma farinosa
Lineage: Eukaryota; Fungi; Ascomycota; Pichiomycetes; Serinales; Debaryomycetaceae
Description: eukaryotic LSU rRNA
Rfam family: Eukaryotic large subunit ribosomal RNA
Source: RNAcentral
CCAACAGGGAUUGCCUUAGUAACGGCGAGUGAAGCGGCAAAAGCUCAAAUUUGAAAUCUGGCGUCUUCGGCGUCCGAGUUGUAAUUUGAAGAAGGCUACUUUGGAGCUGGAGUUUGUCUAAGUUCCUUGGAACAGGACGUCACAGAGGGUGAGAAUCCCGUGAGAUAAGCUUCCCAGUUCUAUGUAAAGUGCUUUCGAAGAGUCGAGUUGUUUGGGAAUGCAGCUCUAAGUGGGUGGUAAAUUCCAUCUAAAGCUAAAUAUUGGCGAGAGACCGAUAGCGAACAAGUACAGUGAUGGAAAGAUGAAAAGAACUUUGAAAAGAGAGUGAAAAAGUACGUGAAAUUGUUGAAAGGGAAGGGCUUGAGAUCAGACAUGGUAUUUUGUAAACCUUCUCUCUCGUGGAGGGGGCCCCUUGCAGUUUACUGGGCCAGCAUCAGUUUGGGCGGUAGGAUAAUGACUAAGGAAUGUGACUUGCCUUCGGGGAAGUGUUAUAGCCUUGGUUGAUACUGCCAGCCUAGACUGAGGACCGCGUCUUUGACAAGGAUGUUGGCAUAAUGAUCUUAAGCCACCCGUCUUGAAACACGGACCUCCUGUGUGAGGGGAAAUCCCUCUUCAAAA